AUGUGCACAUCACACGUGCACAUAAAAUUGAGUUUGGCAAUAAAUAAAGGUGGAGAAGUGGGGAAAAGAAGAAAAAGAACCAAGAAUUAGAAGACAAGUUGUUCAAGGAACGUGCUAGCCCUGCUCGCAAUUGGGUGAUUCCUUCAUUCAAUUACCUAAGAGCCCCUCAUAAUCUGCUACUCAUACCCUUCAACAAAUAGGGUACAAUAGUAAAAUAACUUAACUUUUAUUCCCUCUCCAAUUAUUCCACGGUUCUCCUCCAAUAUUAUAAAUUUAGCCAACUGUCCAAGAAAAUUCCAACGCCGCUUAUAGAUCAAGCAUUUUGGGUUAGGAGAGAACAAGGAUAUUUCCGUUCUCAUCAACAGAUCCAAACUCUUAGCCUAGAAAAUCAACCAUGUCUACCAAGCAAGGUGGAAAGGCAAAGCCUUUGAAGGCAGCAAAGACUGAAAAGAAGGAGUACGACGAGACUGACAAGGCUUUUCUUGCAAAGAAGAAGGAAGAGGAAAAGGCCCUAAAGGAGCUCAAGGCAAAGGCUCAGAAAGGGUCCAUUGGUGGUGCUGGCCUGAAAAAGAGCGGAAAGAAAUGAGGAUGUUAUAUUCUUCGUAGUAUUGAAAAACUCUCUUCUUACCCAUGGCUAGAUUUGGUGUUCUAUGUUCUACUAGUUGAUGUUUUUGUUAACUUUUGGGAUGUUUCUAUGGUGACUCAAUGAUUAGGAUGGGGCACUUGCUCCUUUCCAAUAUAUUAUGACAUGCAUUGUGCUGCCUUUGCCUAUAAAUAAUUCAUAUUGGCGUAAA
Long non-coding RNA from Capsicum annuum, 794 nucleotides. RefSeq lists it as uncharacterized. Lineage: Eukaryota; Viridiplantae; Streptophyta; Magnoliopsida; Solanales; Solanaceae. The transcript has 4 exons. The record is from RefSeq and is a predicted model, not a curated record.